GGUAGAGGAGUGAAGUGGGGAAAGUAACCACGUCUUACAAAAUGAGCAACCAUCGUCUUUUUCUUAUACUAUAAUUCUCUUUCCUCUAUACUUUUUCUUCCUUCUUCUUAUCUCAUCUACUGGUACUUUCCAUCUAUGAAACUCGAAUAAACUUUUCAUGUGAACUUUGUUAAUUCAUUAUCCAAAUCCUUUCUCUACAUGUUACAUCAUCCUUUUCUCACUUUGCCCAUUCAUUGAGCAUGUUUGAUUUUAUU
This 254-nucleotide long non-coding RNA is filed under the name Carica papaya (papaya). RNAcentral describes it as "long non-coding RNA (CPAP_LNC011879)". The record is from RNAcentral. Lineage: Eukaryota; Viridiplantae; Streptophyta; Magnoliopsida; Brassicales; Caricaceae.